Molecule: ribosomal RNA, 253 nt
Filed under: uncultured bacterium
Lineage: Bacteria
Description: partial 16S ribosomal RNA
Rfam family: Bacterial small subunit ribosomal RNA
Source: RNAcentral
GACGGGGGAUGCAAGCGUUAUCCGGAAUCACUGGGCGUAAAGCGUCUGUAGGCGGUGAUGCAAGUCACUGGUGCAAAACUAUGGCUCAACCGGAGGAAAGCCAGUGAAACUGCAUGACUAGAGUGUGGGAGAGGUAGAAGGAAUUCCCUGAGUAGCGGUGAAAUGCGUAGAUACACGGAAGAACACCGGAGGCGAAAGCGUUCUACUGGAACACAACUGACACUGAGAGACGAAAGCUAGGGGAGCGAAUGGG